This 999-nucleotide ribosomal RNA is filed under the name Triticum aestivum (bread wheat). Its description in RNAcentral is "partial small subunit ribosomal RNA". Lineage: Eukaryota; Viridiplantae; Streptophyta; Magnoliopsida; Poales; Poaceae. The record is from RNAcentral.
AUGCAGAGGCGGAGGUCGGGAUUCCACCAUGUGGAAGAGACAGAGAACAAUGUAGUGCGCAGCCUGUUCUGGACAGAUUCCUUGUGUAAGAUGAAUUAUGAUCUAUAUGGAGAUUUCGUGUCUUUUGACACCACAUUCUCUACGAAUAUAUAUGGCUUGCCAUUUGCACCAAUUAUAGGCGUCGACAACCACGGGUCGACCGUCCUGUUUGGAGUAGGCCUUUUGAAGGAUGAGAAAAUAGGGUCAUUCAAGUGGCUCCUAAGCACGUUUGUCGAGGCAAUGGGAGGUAAAGAGCCGAAAUACAUAAUAACAGACCAGGACCAGGCGAUAAAGAAUGCAAUAAAGGAAGCUCUUCCGAGGACGAGGCACAGGUUCUGCUGGUGGCAUAUUAGGAAGAACCUGAAGGAAAAUAACGUAGCAGUGUUUGCACAGCACCCAGGGAUGUCUGAUGAUAUAUUUCGAAUCGUCAAAAACUCACUAGAUCAAGACGAGUUUGAGCGUGCCUGGAAAGCAGCAAUUUCUCUGCACAAGGUGGAAGGCAACAAACACCUGAACACGCUAUGGGAACUCCGAAAUUUUUGGGUGCCGGCCUACUUCAAGGACUGUUUCUAUCCUUUCUCGUCAACAACCACUCACAGUGAGAGCACGAAUUCGAUGUGGAAGAAUUACGUCGACCACAAGGACACUAUAAAAAGGUUUGUUAAUGCGUAUCGCACGGUUCAGCAAAAUUGCCUCGCCACGCUUGACAAGAAAAGACACCGAACAGAAGAGAAGGCGCCAUCACUAGAGACGGGUUUUCUGAUUGAAAGACAAGCAAGUCAAGUAUACACGAAUGAAAUUUUCAGGAAAUUCCAGCUGGAGCUACGGAACUGGACUUACUUCAAGUGCUCUGACCUGGCAAAGGGGAGGCAGUAUUUAAAAAAAAGAUUAUUGAGCCUGGACAAAAAGUGUGGAAACCAUAUCCAGGCGAGAAAUUUGACAGGUCUGAGUUCAGGGUAG